UACCAGCACCCCGAGUGGUCGGGACGAUUAUUGGGCCUAAAGCAUCCGUAGCCGGUUCUACAAGUCUUCCGUUAAAUCCACCUGCUCAACAGAUGGGCUGCGGAGGAUACUAUAGAGCUAGGAGGCGGGAGAGGCAAGCGGUACUUAGUGGGUAGGGGUAAAAUCCGUAGAUAUUCGGAAGAACACCAGUGGCGAAGGCGACUUACUGGACACAUAUUGACGCUGAGGUGCGAAAGCGUGGGGAGCAAACAGG
RNAcentral lists this ribosomal RNA (253 nucleotides) under uncultured bacterium. Its description in RNAcentral is "partial 16S ribosomal RNA". The stretch from base 27 to 253 matches the Rfam family "Bacterial small subunit ribosomal RNA", at positions 550 to 776 of the family's 1533-position model. The record is from RNAcentral.